This 770-nucleotide ribosomal RNA is filed under the name uncultured bacterium. RNAcentral's name for it is "bacterial SSU rRNA". It matches the Rfam family "Bacterial small subunit ribosomal RNA", at positions 104 to 873 of the family's 1533-position model. The record is from RNAcentral.
GGGUGAGUAAUGCCUGGGAAUUUGCCUUUGUGUGGGGGAUAACUAUUGGAAACGAUAGCUAAUACCGCAUAACACCUACGGGUCAAAGGGGGGACUUGUUCCUCCCGCGCAAAGAGAAGCCCAGGUGAGAUUAGCUAGCUGGUGAGGUAAGAGCUCACCAAGGCGACGAUCUCUAGCUGUUCUGAGAGGAAGAUCAGCCACACUGGAACUGAGACACGGUCCAGACUCCUACGGGAGGCAGCAGUGGGGAAUAUUGCACAAUGGGGGAAACCCUGAUGCAGCCAUGCCGCGUGUGUGAAGAAGGCCUUCGGGUUGUAAAGCACUUUCAGUUGUGAGGAAAGGUUAAUGGUUAAUACCUAUUAGCUGUGACGUUAGCAACAGAAGAAGCACCGGCUAACUCCGUGCCAGCAGCCGCGGUAAUACGGAGGGUGCAAGCGUUAAUCGGAAUUACUGGGCGUAAAGCGCACGCAGGCGGUCUGUUAAGCUAGAUGUGAAAGCCCCGCGCUCAACGUGGGAUGGUCAUUUAGAACUGGCAGACUAGAGUUUUGGAGAGGAGAGUGGAAUUUCUGGUGUAGCGGUGAAAUGCGUAGAUAUCAGAAGGAACAUCAGUGGCGAAGGCGACCCUCUGGUCAAUAACUGACGCUCAUGUGCGAAAGUGUGGGUAGCGAACGGGAUUAGAUACCCCGGUAGUCCACACCGUAAACGCUGUCUACUAACUGUUUGUGGAUUUAAUCCGUGAGUAGUGAAGCUAACGCGAUAAGUAGACCGCC